This is an RNA transcript of Asparagus officinalis (garden asparagus), 2551 nucleotides long. It is a transcript of the gene named pentatricopeptide repeat-containing protein At2g01390, with no coding region annotated. Lineage: Eukaryota; Viridiplantae; Streptophyta; Magnoliopsida; Asparagales; Asparagaceae. The record is from RefSeq and is a predicted model, not a curated record. The transcript has 4 exons.
AGGAGGGUCGGGCUGACCGUGGUGAGCUAUACGGCGUUUAUGAAGAUUUUGUUUGAUUGUGGGAGGGAGAAGGAGGCCGCGGGGGUUUAUAGGGAGAUGAUUGAUGCCGGGUUGAAGCCGAAUUGUCAUACUUAUACGGUCUUGAUGGAGUAUCUCGCUGGUGCUGGGAAGUUUGAUGCUGCGUUUGAGAUAAUGAGCAAAAUGCUAGAAGCAGGGAUUCCACCUGACAAAGCUACAUGCAAUAUUCUAGUUCAAAAGUGUUCUGUAGCUAGAAAUACAUCAGCAAUUGCUCAUGUUCUCCAAUACAUGAAGGAUAGUUCAAUUGUCCUUCGCCGUCCUAUAUUUUUGGAAGCACUUGAAGCUUUUAAAGAUUCUGGCAAGAUCAAUCAUCUCCUCCGAGAAGUAAACCCUCAUCUUGCUUUUGAAGGCAUUGAAGAAGAAAUUGACUCUAGAAUGAAUUCUGAUAACAUUCUCUAUACUAUUGAUAGGGAACUUGUUAUUAAUCUUCUUGCAAAAAAGAAUUUUAUAGCCAUUGAGCGUAUAUUGAAUGAUAAGAUAAAUAAUGAGAUACAAUUAGAUUCUGGACUUAUGUCUUCUGUUGUCCAAGCUUACUGUGCAAACUCUAGGUUGUCUGGUGCUUUAUUGGCAUUUCAGUACUGUUUGAGAACAGAUAAGAAACUUGAUAGGUGCGCCUACAUCUCUCUUAUUGGUCUUCUCAUCAGAGCAAACUCGUUGUCGAACGUGAUGGAGAUUGUAGAGGAAAUAGUUCAGGCCGGCAUUGACCUUGGAUCUUAUCUCGUUUCUAUUUUGAUACACCAACUUGGAUGUGCUGGCCUUUCUUCUAUUGCUGCAAAGAUUUUUCAUUCUUCCCUCUCUGACCAGAAUACUGUUACUUAUACUUCUUUGAUGAGUGCUUAUUUUCAAGCUGGUGAAGUGGAUAAAGGUCUUGAGAUCUAUUCAAAAAUGAGAAGCCAAGGCAUCACCAUGUCACAUGGUACUUAUGCAGUGCUGAUCACUGGUCUGGAAGAGGCUGGUAGAAUUUCUGAUGCAGAAAUUUACAGAAAAGAGAAGAGAAGCUUGCAGUGGCGUAACAAUUCAAUCGAGAAUCUUUCAGCAGAAGAGAGUCUGUGUAACUGUUUAUUUAAUGGAAUUUGAACCUUGGGAAGUUCUGUUUUUGGUGGUCUUCACAUGAUUGUGGAUUCGAUAUGCCAAACUGAAGGAGAGCUACAAACAAGACUUGUUGAAUACUUUUGGAUACCGUGUAUAACUAGAAAUUGUUGCACAAAUUAAAUAUGCUGAUGUGAACAAGUAUUCAGUGCUGAACUUGAAUAGGUUGGCAUAACUUAUGAUCCAAGAAUUCACCUGAAAAGCAACAUAAUGAAAACAGUGGAUAAUCGAGACAUAAGUUCCACGAAUAUUUCUUCCUAAGCACUGCAUUUAGUCGUACAAAAUUACAGAUUAAUUCUGCAGCGCCCUUUUUAGUCACAAGUUCAAGUUGGGAGGGAACUGUGCAGCUGAGGCAAUUUACUGAUAAACAUUAAUAGGAGGAAUUUACUUCAGUUUGAGGGAACUGUGCAGCUGAGGCAAUUAACUGAUAAACAUGAAUAGGAGGAAUUUACUUCAGUUUCACAUUGGAUGUGACGUAAAGACGCUCUUGUUAAGAGCAGAUUGAGGUAGUCUAUGAUUCCCAGAGCAGGGGAUUCUGCCGCUUUUCAAGGUGUCUUCAGCAAGAUCUGCACUUAAGUGAGAGAGGAGAUCGAUGCAACGUUGGAAAUUUGGAUUAUGAGAAGGAAAGGCUGAUCUCAUUUACAAUGUUAUGUUCACUAAUGAAGUCCACAUGCUCAAUACCGAUUGCUUCUCCGUCCUUAGGCACAUUUCUGUAAGAUCGCCUUCCUGGUCAGGCAAUUGGAUCAUGAAGAUUUAGCCCUUCAACUGUAUUGCUCUAUUCUGCUUUCCUAGUUUGCCUAUAUAUCUGUUCAGCUGUACACCUUCAGAUAUGUUAAUGGAGUUUAUGAGUGUCCAAGAUUACUGAGGUGCUUUAUGUUAAAAGAGUUCCUCCUCUGAACUCUGUAAUCCAUUUGACAUCUGUGGCCCUUGUCCUACAAGGAAAAGAGAUGGAAUUGGUGGCGGAACAGGGUAUAUCAGCUGUAUCCUGAUGUGAAAUGAUCAAUGCAAUAUUCAACGAAAUAGCAGAAAUGAUGAGCCGAUAAUGAAGUGCAUAGGAAAAGAGAAUAAGGUGAUGAAACCUGCGAUCAUGAUAUUGGAGAUCUGAAGAGUUAAGGAUGUUAUCGAUGAGCAGACGGGAGAAGGGAUGAGAGCUGAGCAAUGGGGCAACUUUGAUGGGUACGGACACAAAACUGAACAGAACCUACUAGCCUCUCUCUCUGUUACCCCCACCCAUGACACUAGAGAAUUGAGUAAGAGAAGAAAAAUGAAAAGAAAGCAGAAACAGUUUAUUUUCUGUUCUCUUUUGCUCAGGUUGUUUCCCAUUGCAUUGACAGUUAAAAAGAAAAGACUAAAAUCAACUAGCAACCAAAAAAAAAAAAAAAAA